RNAcentral lists this ribosomal RNA (989 nucleotides) under Mycolicibacter sp. RNAcentral describes it as "bacterial SSU rRNA". It matches the Rfam family "Bacterial small subunit ribosomal RNA", at positions 28 to 1013 of the family's 1533-position model. The record is from RNAcentral. Lineage: Bacteria; Bacillati; Actinomycetota; Actinomycetes; Mycobacteriales; Mycobacteriaceae.
GACGAACGCUGGCGGCGUGCUUAACACAUGCAAGUCGAACGGAAAGGCCCUUUCGGGGGUACUCGAGUGGCGAACGGGUGAGUAACACGUGGGUGAUCUGCCCUGCACUUUGGGAUAAGCCUGGGAAACUGGGUCUAAUACCGAAUAGGACCACGCGCUUCAUGGUGUGUGGUGGAAAGCUUUUGCGGUGUGGGAUGGGCCCGCGGCCUAUCAGCUUGUUGGUGGGGUAAUGGCCUACCAAGGCGACGACGGGUAGCCGGCCUGAGAGGGUGUCCGGCCACACUGGGACUGAGAUACGGCCCAGACUCCUACGGGAGGCAGCAGUGGGGAAUAUUGCACAAUGGGCGCAAGCCUGAUGCAGCGACGCCGCGUGGGGGAUGACGGCCUUCGGGUUGUAAACCUCUUUCAGUAUCGGCGAAGCUCCAAGGUUUUCUUUGGGGUGACGGUAGGUACAGAAGAAGCACCGGCCAACUACGUGCCAGCAGCCGCGGUAAUACGUAGGGUGCGAGCGUUGUCCGGAAUUACUGGGCGUAAAGAGCUCGUAGGUGGUUUGUCACGUUGUCCGUGAAAACUCACAGCUUAACUGUGGGCGUGCGGGCGAUACGGGCAGACUGGAGUACUGUAGGGGAGACUGGAAUUCCUGGUGUAGCGGUGGAAUGCGCAGAUAUCAGGAGGAACACCGGUGGCGAAGGCGGGUCUCUGGGCAGUAACUGACGCUGAGGAGCGAAAGCGUGGGGAGCGAACAGGAUUAGAUACCCUGGUAGUCCACGCCGUAAACGGUGGGUACUAGGUGUGGGUUUCCUUCCUUUAGGGAUCCGUGCCGUAGCUAACGCAUUAAGUACCCCGCCUGGGGAGUACGGCCGCAAGGCUAAAACUCAAAGGAAUUGACGGGGGCCCGCACAAGCGGCGGAGCAUGUGGAUUAAUUCGAUGCAACGCGAAGAACCUUACCUGGGUUUGACAUGCACAGGACGCCGGUAGAGAUAUCGGU